UUCAGAAACAUUUUAGAACAGUUAUUUAGGAAAUCAUGUCCAUUGGACCAAAUCUUCUGAUUAUGUUGCAUGACGGAUGUCCAUUUUGCCAAAAUAUCAUCUCUUGCUGCAUGUCUCUUCCCAUGCUGAAGCACUAUAACUGCAAAAAAUUUCAGUUAAGUUGACUUUGGAUAUGCUUUUACAUACAAGUAGGAAAAUCUUGACAACUGAAGAACUAUGUAAAAUUUUCUCAUGAUUGAAGUCCAGUAGAGCUGUUGCAUGCAGUUUGUUGUGCUGGUGUUUUUACAUUCUCUAGUUAUCUUCACCACCUUUGUCUUCACCAGAUUCAAUUCUUUACUGCUCUUUGAUCUUGUGGACAAACAAAAAAAAUUGUCCCUCUCGAGAGGUGAUCACCAUUUGAGCUUUAAUUAAGGACAAAUCUAGGAUUGAUUGAUCAGAGGUUAAUCCCUCAACGUUGUUUAAUGAAGGGAGUCAGCGGUGGUGUGGCUCUGCAGUACUAAGCCAAUCACAUGGCGCAAAAUGAAUUGUCCCUUACGACCAGACGAUGGAGCAGAUUGCCUUCCCCAUUCCGUAAAUGUGCGAGUAUUUUACCAACGAAAGAAAAGGGCGCAUCUUCAACACGGCGGACGACCAGGGAUUGAAAAUGGCCGUCUUUUUUUAAAGGAGUCGACAUGUUUAACAAAAUGAAAUGUAGAAGAAAUUGCGCGAACAGCCGUUUCUCUUUUGGGUCAGCUCGCACAUGCAUCCAUCUGGAGUCAAAUCCUCUUCAGUUUGGCCGUCAUUCAACUUGGUUGUCGCCUUCUUUUACCCGAUUGACACUGACGGACCGGCUCCUGAUCCAUUAGCAUUUGAAACUGCUCUAGCAUUGCCACUUUGAAGCAAACGACCUUUGUUCCUUCUCUACUAGAGUCACCUAGUAGAGGAAUCUCGUGCUGGUCUAGGAAUCCCAACUCAACCGUAGUCUGCUCCACACCCAUGUUCGACACAGUUCGUCAAAUCAAACAUGUACUGUGUAAGACUAAUGAAGAGGAGUAAUUCCAAACCACACUUGCUCGGUGUUAGUUAGACCACAACCUUAACCAGCCUCCAUAAAAGAAAGGAUUCACCAUUGGACUCUUUACUUUUUUCUAGUCUUUACUGAUCAUGAAAUUAAUUUCGGGAAUCAAGCAUCAAACCUUGACGUGAAAAGAAUCUUUGAAGCCUGCCACAAGUACUGUUGGGUACUAUUGUUAUGCUAUGCUGCUAACUAUUGUGUUUAACCUGAACAAUCCUUUGUGGCUGUAAGGGCACCGAAAGUACAGUUUUACCUUAACCGUGUGAGAUAAUUGUGCACGUACGUACAUACAUUACGACUAAUCAAACUGAAAAUGAUUGUCAUUUCAAAGUGUAGUCGCUUUGUGCAAAGGUGAAUCUUGGCUUGUCUCUUGAGAACACAGCACAUGGUCACAUUUACUUUAGCUAUUAAACAAAGGAAUUGCUACUGGAAUUCUCCACAAACGUAUUUGUCAGUUAGGUUAAGUGAAGCUGUUUGCUGUUGCCGUCUUCUGUAGAAGAACAUUUUUACUUGUCACCUCAAUAACUGCAUAAAUUGGGAAGCUGCCUGUUUUGCGUAUUUACUUCAGCAUGCUAUAUCUUUUCCUACUGUCUGUUGAUGUUUGAGGUAUGACUGAAAUUGCCUGUGCUGUUGCAGUCCAAUGUGAUGAUACCUGCCUGUUUUCUGAUUUAAGGAGUACUAAACAAAACGGAUUUACGAUGGUGGUUAUUUUUCGGUUUUGUUUGGUGUACUCAUUAAGUGUGUUCUCUAUGUGUCGCUUUUCAAGUAAUUUAAGCAAAAGUUUCUGUUUGUUGUUUGCUGUUUUGUGUUUUCGCGUCUCUUCGGCAGAAUUUAUUAUGUCUAAGUCUAUUUAGAAUGGGACAUGUUGAUUUGAGACAAGCUCGUAUGAAGCAUUUAAUUGUAUGUUAUUAGAAUGUGUGUAAAAUUUUUCUUGAUUUGGCGAGUAAACGCUAAAAAAUGUGCGAAA
Molecule: long non-coding RNA, 2021 nt
Filed under: Daphnia pulex (common water flea)
Lineage: Eukaryota; Metazoa; Arthropoda; Branchiopoda; Diplostraca; Daphniidae
Description: uncharacterized LOC124208243, transcript variant X7
Source: RNAcentral